UGGGGGGAAAGGCUUCACAAGGGGAAGGAGGGUAGCCGGCUGGAAGGGUGACCGCCCCACCUGGGAAUGAGACCCGGCCCAGAUUCUUAGGGGAGGCAGCAGGGGGAAUAUUGCACAAUGGGCGGAAGCCUGAUGCAGGGACGCCGCUGGAGGGAUGACGGCCUUCGGGUUGUAAACCUCUUUCAGUAGGAAGAAGCGAGAGUGACGGUACCUGCAGAAGAAGCGCCGGCUAACUACGUGCCAGCAGCCGCGGUAAUACGUAGGGCGCAAGCGUUGUCCGGAAUUAUUGGGCGUAAAGAGCUCGUAGGCGGUUUGUCGCGUCUGCUGUGAAAGCCCGGGGCUCAACCCCGGGGUCUGCAGUGGGUACGGGCAGACUAGAGUGCAGUAGGGGAGACUGGAAUUCCUGGUGUAGCGGUGAAAUGCGCAGAUAUCAGGAGGAACACCGAUGGCGAAGGCAGGUCUCUGGGCUGUUACUGACGCUGAGGAGCGAAAGCAUGGGGAGCGAACAGGAUUAGAUACCCUGGUAGUCCAUGCCGUAAACGUUGGGCACUAGGUGUGGGGGACAUUCCACGUUUUCCGCGCCGUAGCUAACGCAUUAAGUGCCCCGCCUGGGGAGUACGGCCGCAAGGCUAAAACUCAAAGGAAUUGACGGGGGCCCGCACAAGCGGCGGAGCAUGCGGAUUAAUUCGAUGCAACGCGAAGAACCUUACCAAGGCUUGACAUUCACCGGACCGCCCCAGAGAUGGGGUUUCCCUUCGGGGCUGGUGGACAGGUGGUGCAUGGUUGUCGUCAGCUCGUGUCGUGAGAUGUUGGGUUAAGUCCCGCAACGAGCGCAACCCUCGUUCUAUGUUGCCAGCACGUGAUGGUGGGGACUCAUAGGAGACUGCCGGGGUCAACUCGGAGGAAGGUGGGGAUGACGUCAAAUCAUCAUGCCCCUUAUGUCUUGGGCUUCACGCAUGCUACAAUGGCCGGUACAAAGGGUUGCGAUACUGUGAGGUGGAGCUAAUCCCAAAAAGCCGGUCUCAGUUCGGAUUGAGGUCUGCAACUCGACCUCAUGAAGUCGGAGUCGCUAGUAAUCGCAGAUCAGCAACGCUGCGGUGAAUACGUUCCCGGGCCUUGUACACACCGCCCGUCAAGUCACGAAAGUUGGUAACACCCGAAGCCGGUGGUCACUAACCCCUUGUGGGAGGGCUAUGC
Molecule: ribosomal RNA, 1197 nt
Filed under: Kocuria rosea subsp. polaris
Lineage: Bacteria; Bacillati; Actinomycetota; Actinomycetes; Micrococcales; Micrococcaceae
Description: bacterial SSU rRNA
Rfam family: Bacterial small subunit ribosomal RNA
Source: RNAcentral